This 295-nucleotide ribosomal RNA is filed under the name Tremella puncteliae. RNAcentral describes it as "Tremella sp. AMM-2022m partial large subunit ribosomal RNA". It matches the Rfam family "Eukaryotic large subunit ribosomal RNA", at positions 1 to 292 of the family's 3401-position model. Lineage: Eukaryota; Fungi; Basidiomycota; Tremellomycetes; Tremellales; Tremellaceae. The record is from RNAcentral.
GACCUCAGAUCAGGUAGGACUACCCGCUGAACUUAAGCAUAUCAAUAAGCGGAGGAAAAGAAACUAACAAGGAUUCCCCUAGUAGCGGCGAGCGAAGCGGGAUGAGCUCAAAUUUGUAAUCUGGCGUCCCACGGGCGUCCGAGUUGUAAAUUAAAGAAACGUUUUCCGCGCCGGCCGUGUCCAAGUCCCCUGGAAUGGGGUAUCGAAGAGGGUGACAAUCCCGUGCUUGACACGACCACCGGGGCUAUGUGAUACGUUCUCUACGAGUCGAGUUGUUUGGGAAUGCAGCUCUAAA